This 1016-nucleotide long non-coding RNA is filed under the name Equus caballus (horse). RNAcentral describes it as "lncRNA (ENSECAG00000047111.1)". The record is from RNAcentral. Lineage: Eukaryota; Metazoa; Chordata; Mammalia; Perissodactyla; Equidae.
UACUAAUAAGGAAAUCAAUUAGUUGGUGUGCGUGUCACGAAAUGCUUCAAUAAAGAUCUGCCUUUGGGGGAUUUUUCCUCCCCCUCCAUUUUUUUCCCCCAAAGAGACCUGGCUGGGGCCAGAACGCCUUGCCAGCGUCCUCCCGUCAGAAGGAGGCGACGCAGCAGCGUCUGGAGCUGAUUACUGGAGGGAUGUGCUCUGCUGCCCUGCUGGCAUCACGGGCAGCUAUGGGGUCCCCACCUCAGCCUGUCCUGGCCGCACCCAUCUGCGUGGGUCAAGGAGGAGCGGUCGUGCCCAGCCCAGGUCCUGGUCCACCAGGCUGGAAAGAGGCUUCACGGCCCUCCACCACACACAAUGACACACACAUAGUCGCUCCAGAUCACCCAUGCAUAAACACACACACACACACAAUCUCUCACGAUAACUACUCAGACAGCCCAAACUGCACACAAAUCCACUAUCACAACCUAUAUACACACACACACAAUUAUACACAUACUCACACUCAUCCCCAAACAUAUACACAUUCACAACCACCCUUCUCCAGACACGUAUACAAUCACACACAUAUACUUGAUGUGAGAAUCCAAGGACAUCUGAGCUAGAAUAGAUCUUCAAAGUCUUCAAUUCCAACCCCCCCUUCACAUUACCAGUGGGGAAACUGAAGCCCAGAGAGAAGGCAUGAAUUGUACAAAUGGCACCUCUUUAUCCCCACUCUCCCAGUUAGUGGCAUCUUGGGAUGAGAGAUAUUGAUCAGGGGAUCCAGGGCUGAGAGAAAGUGGGAGAGGAACUCACCUGGAGCCCGGGCCCCAAAAAACUUCAGCCAAACCUUCUAAUGAGGAAAUGCAAAAAUAAGAAUCAAGAAGGAAUCUGCACAGCCCCAGAAUUCCCCCAACCCCUGCCCAGCCUGGAGAACAGCACAGUCUAAGUGCAAAGACCGUGGCCUUCUGGGGAGACAGACCAGGUUUCCUGAAACUUGGCUCUGCCAUUCACUUGCUGGGUGACCUAGGGCAAAG